GUGCUCGCUUCGGCAGCACAUGUACUAAAAUUGGAACGAUUACAGAGAAGAUUAGCACAGCCCCUGCACAGGGAUGCCACGCAAAUGGAUGAAGUGUUAGUAUAUUUC
This is a small nuclear RNA of Eptesicus fuscus (big brown bat), 108 nucleotides long. NCBI's taxonomy places the organism in Eukaryota, Metazoa, Chordata, Mammalia, Chiroptera, Vespertilionidae. The record is from RefSeq and is a predicted model, not a curated record.